This 899-nucleotide long non-coding RNA is filed under the name Durio zibethinus. RNAcentral's name for it is "long non-coding RNA (DZIB_LNC001130)". Lineage: Eukaryota; Viridiplantae; Streptophyta; Magnoliopsida; Malvales; Malvaceae. The record is from RNAcentral.
GAAGACGUAACCUUUAUGUAGCUUUGCAGGCAAAAAUGAGGUAACCUAAAAGGCUUUCUCAUCCGACUUGAUAAAGUAAAAUACAAAUCCACCAUGUUUUUUAAAUGGUUUUGGCUUCUUGAAAUCGAAGCUUACAAAAACCUUUCUUUUUUUUCUUUUGGAUAACGCUUAUCAAAAAAAGGUGGAAAAGCUGAGGUCGGAAAGACGAUGCAAAAUUCAGACAUCACAAGGGACUAUGAUAUGGGGGAAAUGAAAAUAAGUCGGUACAAUCCAGUUAUAGCGACUUGUAUGAUCGAGUUCUAGUAGAAGAUCAAAGAAACAAUUAUUGCAUCCGUAUUUUAGUUAUGGGCCGACCUAGGUUCCUAUCCCUUCGGACGAGGGCAAGAAAUAUAGCUCUAGCUAGGCCCUGUUUAAAAUGCAAACAAACUUCUGAUGUUGAUCUGACUGCUAGGGUUGAAUUUCCAAGCUUACCUGUUGAUUUAAAGCCGGUUCGACAGUCUACGGAGAUACUUUAACUGAAUUUGUAUGGAAAAAAAUAAUAUUCAAAAUUUAAUUCAAAUAAUUUAUAUAAUUAUUUUAAAAAGUAAUAUUUUGAAGUUAGUAUUUUUUUCCUUAUGUUUAAGUACGUACGGCAUUCAUUAUAAAAAAUAUAUAUUACAAUGGUAGCCAUAUAUGCUAGGUGAUGAUUCUGAGUAACGAUUAUAGUCAGCGGUUUUUUUGCAAUGCGUAACAUGAUCAAGAGUGGAUCCAACGACGCAAUUGGUGGAUGAUACGGGAACUGAUUAGUACCAGCUCAGCAAGGGAGUCUGUUAGUUUGAUUAUGCCACUUCACCUAAUUUGUUAAGAGUUAGUUUAAAAAAAAGAGAUGUUAAUAUUUAAUAUGGAAUGAUCAUUUCAAA